UACAGAGGUCCCAAGCGUUGUUCGGAUUCACUGGGCGUAAAGGGUGCGUAGGUGGCUGGGAAAGUUUGAUGUGAAAGCUCAGGGCUUAACCCUGAAAUGGCAUUGAAUACUAUCGAGCUGGAGGUUUGGAGGGGGGACUGGAAUUCUCGGUGUAGCAGUGAAAUGCGUAGAUAUCGAGAGGAACACCAGUGGCGAAGGCGAGUCCCUGGACAACACCUGACACUGAGGCACGAAAGCUAGGGGAGCAACCAGG
This 253-nucleotide ribosomal RNA is filed under the name uncultured bacterium. RNAcentral describes it as "partial 16S ribosomal RNA". It matches the Rfam family "Bacterial small subunit ribosomal RNA", at positions 524 to 776 of the family's 1533-position model. The record is from RNAcentral.